AAAAUUUGUGUAUAAAUUCUGAAUUUCAGGAAAAGACAAUCUUGAAGAAAUUGACUAGCCAACUCCUUAUAUUUUGAUGCUCAGACUUCUCAAGGCUGCUCAAUUUGACACAAAGGAAUAAAGGAUGGAAUUGUCAAUAUGAAGUUAACCAAUAAUUGCAAUGUACGUUGGUUUGCUUGUGGUGAAGGAGGAGUUUGAAAGAAAAUCAAAAGUGUUUGAUGAAUUGUAUAAUUAUUUAGACAUGUAAAGCUUUUUGUAGUUGUCAUGUAAAUAUUGUGUACUUUAACAUUAUUAAAUAUUAAUAAUGAAAUAUAUUUUUUUAAA
Long non-coding RNA from Salvia miltiorrhiza (redroot sage), 324 nucleotides. RefSeq lists it as uncharacterized. NCBI's taxonomy places the organism in Eukaryota, Viridiplantae, Streptophyta, Magnoliopsida, Lamiales, Lamiaceae. The record is from RefSeq and is a predicted model, not a curated record. The transcript is spliced from 2 exons.